CCUACGGGGGGCAGCAGUAGGGAAUAUUGCUCAAUGGGGGAAACCCUGAAGCAGCAACGCCGCGUGGAGGAUGAAGGUUUUCGGAUUGUAAACUCCUUUUGUUAGAGAAGAUAAUGACGGUAUCUAACGAAUAAGCACCGGCUAACUCCGUGCCAGCAGCCGCGGUAAUACGGAGGGUGCAAGCGUUACUCGGAAUCACUGGGCGUAAAGAGCGCGUAGGCGGGAUAGCAAGUCAGAUGUGAAAUCCUAGGGCUUAACCAUAGAACUGCAUUUGAAACUGUUAGUCUAGAGUAUGGGAGAGGUAGGUGGAAUUCUUGGUGUAGGGGUGAAAUCCGUAGAGAUCAAGAGGAAUACUCAUUGCGAAGGCGACCUGCUAGAACAUAACUGACGCUGAUGCGCGAAAGCGUGGGGAGCAAACAGGAUUAGAUACCCGUGUAGUC
This 440-nucleotide ribosomal RNA is filed under the name uncultured bacterium. Its description in RNAcentral is "partial 16S ribosomal RNA". It matches the Rfam family "Bacterial small subunit ribosomal RNA", at positions 338 to 795 of the family's 1533-position model. The record is from RNAcentral.